This 80-nucleotide ribosomal RNA is filed under the name Candidatus Burkholderia pumila. Lineage: Bacteria; Pseudomonadati; Pseudomonadota; Betaproteobacteria; Burkholderiales; Burkholderiaceae. The record is from RNAcentral.
CAUCCCGAACAGGACCGUGAAACGACUCCACGCCGAUGAUAGUGCGGAUUGCCCGUGUGAAAGUAGGUAAUCGUCAGGCU